CCUACGGGAGGCAGCAGUGAGGAAUAUUGGUCAAUGGACGAGAGUCUGAACCAGCCAAGUAGCGUGAAGGAUGACUGCCCUAUGGGUUGUAAACUUCUUUUAUAUGGGAAUAAAAUGUUCCACGUGUGGGAUUUUGUAUGUACCAUAUGAAUAAGGAUCGGCUAACUCCGUUCCAGCAGCCGCGGUAAUACGGAGGAUCCGAGCGUUAUCCGGAUUUAUUGGGUGUAAAGGGAGCGUAGGUGGAUUGUUAAGUCAGUUGUGAAAGUUUGCGGCUCAACCGUACAAUUGCAGUUGAAACUGGCCGUCUUGAGUACAGUAGAGGUGGGCGGAAUGCGUGGUGUAGCGGUGAAAUGCUUAGAUAUCACGAAGAACUCCGAUUGCGAAGGCAGUUCACUGGACUGCAACUGACGCUGAGGCUCGAAAGUGUGGGGAUCAAACAGGAUUAGAUACCCUUGUAGUC
Molecule: ribosomal RNA, 460 nt
Filed under: uncultured bacterium
Lineage: Bacteria
Description: partial 16S ribosomal RNA
Rfam family: Bacterial small subunit ribosomal RNA
Source: RNAcentral